ACGCUUUUGUGGUUCUUAAGUGCGAGUGGAUUUUCAUGCCACUGUGUGAGCUGUGCCUCCCUCAAACCUUCUUUCUUACCAUGUCAGCACAUUACCUACCUAGUC
Octodon degus (degu) is the source of this 105-nucleotide small nucleolar RNA. RefSeq annotates it as small nucleolar RNA U13. The record is from RefSeq and is a predicted model, not a curated record. The transcript has a single exon. Lineage: Eukaryota; Metazoa; Chordata; Mammalia; Rodentia; Octodontidae.